This is a microRNA precursor of Oryza sativa Japonica Group (Japanese rice), 208 nucleotides long. It matches the Rfam family "MIR812 microRNA precursor family". The record is from Rfam. NCBI's taxonomy places the organism in Eukaryota, Viridiplantae, Streptophyta, Magnoliopsida, Poales, Poaceae.
AAUAAGUGCAGUUUUAUACUAUUCACAUUCAAUGUUUGAUCGUUCGUCUUAUUUCAAAAUUUUUUAUGAUUAGUAUUUUUAUUGCUAUUAGAUGAUAAAAUAUGAAUAGUACUUUAUAUGUGACUAAAUAUUUUUAAUUUUUUCAUAAAUUUUUUAAAUAAGACGAACGGUCAAACGUUAGACACGAAUAUCCAUGGCUGCACUUAUU